GAUGAAGAACGUAGCGAAAUGCGAUAAGUAAUGUGAAUUGCAGAAUUCAGUGAAUCAUCGAAUCUUUGAACGCACAUUGCGCCCGCUAGUAUUCUGGCGGGCAUGCCUGUUCGAGCGUCAUUUCAACCAUCAAGCCCCAGGCUUGCGUUGGGGGCCUGCGGCUGCCGCAGCCCCUGAAAAGCAGUGGCGGGCUCGCUGUCAUUCCGAGCGUAGUAGCUACAUCUCGCUCCGGGCGUGGCGGUGGGCACCUGCCGUGAAACACUCUUUCUAAGGUUGACCUCGGAUCAGGUAGGAAUACCCGCUGAACUUAAGCAUAUCAAUAAGCGGAGGA
Molecule: unclassified non-coding RNA, 331 nt
Filed under: soil metagenome
Description: partial contains 5.8S ribosomal RNA, internal transcribed spacer 2, and large subunit ribosomal RNA
Rfam family: 5.8S ribosomal RNA (bases 1-120)
Source: RNAcentral